RNAcentral lists this ribosomal RNA (380 nucleotides) under uncultured Nitrososphaerota archaeon. RNAcentral describes it as "bacterial SSU rRNA". It matches the Rfam family "Archaeal small subunit ribosomal RNA", at positions 471 to 851 of the family's 1478-position model. Lineage: Archaea; Thermoproteati; Nitrososphaerota. The record is from RNAcentral.
UAAAACCAGCACCUCAAGUGGUCAGGAUGAUUAUUGGGCCUAAAGCAUCCGUAGCCUGUUCUAUAAGUCUCCGGUUAAAUCCAUCAACUCAAGUGAUGGGCUGUCGGAGAUACUGUAGAACUAGGGAGUGGGAGAGGUAGACGGUACUCGGUAGGAAGGGGUAAAAUCCUUUGAUCUAUUGAUGACCACCUGUGGCGAAGGCGGUCUACCAGAACACGUUCGACGGUGAGGGGUGAAAGCUGGGGGAGCAAACCGGAUUAGAUACCCGGGUAGUCCCAGCUGUAAACGAUGCAGACUCGGUGAUGCGUUGGUAUGUUACUAGCGCAGUGCCGCAGGGAAGCCGUUAAGUUUGCCGCCUGGGAAGUACGUACGCAAGUAUG